UUAAUCCUAUAUCAACUUUCUUUUUUUUGGCGUUCUUUACAGAUUCAUGUGUAUGGGUUUUUUUUUAAUUUUAAGUCAGGUGUGUUGUAUGUUUGUGAUGUAUGUGUACACAAUUUUAGUCGCUGGAUCCGAUCGCGAAUUAUUGUUAACGUUGACCAAUCAUGGCUGUCUGUCAAUUAUUUAUUCGUAGAUGAUUACAAAGGAAAACAAAAUUAUAUACAGAUGCAUAAAAUAUAAUUAAAAUAAAAGGCAUGUUUGGAAUGGGAUUAUGGCGGACGAAGUACAAUUUCAAGGAAAAUUCUCCAAGUGAUUAAAACGGUUUCUUUGCAGCACUGUACAUAAAUUAAGAAUGACGUUUUUUAACCAAAAUAAUGCUUACCCUUUCCUUUUUUAUUACGUUUUGUGUACCGUUGUUUGCCUUUUUAUCCUUUUUCUUUUUUUUUUCCAUGACAUUGUUAGUUCGUUUUCGACUUUUUAGUUAAAUUAUUUCCUUGGUAUACCUAGUCUUUCUUAAAGUUUUGUUAUCGAUAUUUUGUGCUAAAAUACGUCAGAGAUGGGAUUCAUGACAAGACCAAUGUGAACACUUCUCGUAUACGAAAAUGCAAAAUCUCUUAAAGCAGUUAGGGACAGAUAUUUUGAGGAAAAAUUAGAAUUUUAUGUUAUUUAAAGAUCUUUGUUCUAGAUAAAAAUAUUAUUUUAUUUAAAUAUAAAAACCAAUAAACCCCAAAUUUUAAAUAGGACCAUUGAGAUACAAUUAUGAUAAAAUAAAUGAUAGAAAAGAGUGAAGGCGAAUUUCAAUAUCUGCAUACUAGUUUUUUUAGAAAACAGUAUGAAAUUAUACCUUGAUUAUAAUUGACAUGUAUA
Molecule: long non-coding RNA, 864 nt
Filed under: Mytilus galloprovincialis (Mediterranean mussel)
Lineage: Eukaryota; Metazoa; Mollusca; Bivalvia; Mytilida; Mytilidae
Source: RNAcentral